CCUACGGGAGGCAGCAGUGAGGAAUAUUGGUCAAUGGGCGAGAGCCUGAACCAGCCAAGUCGCGUGCAGGAUGACGGCCCUAUGGGUUGUAAACUGCUUUUAUACGAGAAUAAUUUGAUGCACGUGUGCGUUAUUGCAUGUAUCGUAUGAAUAAGGACCGGCUAAUUCCGUGCCAGCAGCCGCGGUAAUACGGAAGGUCCAGGCGUUAUCCGGAUUUAUUGGGUUUAAAGGGAGUGUAGGCGGUUUGUUAAGCGUGUUGUGAAAUUUAGGUGCUCAACAUUUAACUUGCAGCGCGAACUGUCAGACUUGAGUACACGCAACGUAUGCGGAAUUCAUGGUGUAGCGGUGAAAUGCUUAGAUAUCAUGAAGAACUCCGAUUGCGAAGGCAGCAUACGGGAGUGUAACUGACGCUUAAGCUCGAAGGUGCGGGUAUCGAACAGGAUUAGAUACCCUGGUAGUCCGCACAGUAAACGAUGGAUGCCCGCUGUUAGCGCCUGGCGUUAGCGGCUAAGCGAAAGCAUUAAGCAUCCCACCUGGGGAGUACGCCGGCAACGGUGAAACUCAAAGGAAUUGACGG
This 577-nucleotide ribosomal RNA is filed under the name uncultured bacterium. Its description in RNAcentral is "bacterial SSU rRNA". It matches the Rfam family "Bacterial small subunit ribosomal RNA", at positions 338 to 916 of the family's 1533-position model. The record is from RNAcentral.